Molecule: long non-coding RNA, 2844 nt
Organism: Symphalangus syndactylus (siamang)
Lineage: Eukaryota; Metazoa; Chordata; Mammalia; Primates; Hylobatidae
Source: RefSeq, a predicted model, not a curated record
CACCUUCUGCCGUGAUUGUGAGGCCUCCCCAGCCAUAUGGAACUAUUACUGGACUGUGAUGAGCUCCAUCUGGACUUGAAUGAAAGGAAUGCUAAUCAUCCUGGAUGUGGAUCCGGGCAAGACCCUGUGCUGUCUUCCUCUGGGAACAGGAUGAGUGAGAAAUUAUCUCUUGCGUAUUCUCUGUCCAUGUGAUUUGUGUGGGAUUGACGCCAACUACAGGUUCCAGGCAUGAGAAAACGAUCUGAACCUGGCCAGUAAGAGCACGUUCUUCCCAGCCACAUUGACUGUUUCAUGCAUAGUCAUCAAAAGGAAAGCACAGAUAAAAGAGGGAAAGGGAAGAUUCUUGAUUACAUUGUUUGAACUCACAGAAAUAGUAAUGCUAAAUCAUUGCUAACACUAGCAUUUUCAAUAAGUGUAAGGGCUAUGUCUGUCUUGAUUACUAUAUUAUUCACAUGUAAUAGGAAAGUACCUAGAAGAUAACGGGAAGAUAACUAUUUGUUUAAUUGAAUUAAAUCAAAUUCAAUUUAAUAUUUUAAGAUUUUCCUGGACUGUAAAAUAUAAUUUUGAUGAAAGGAGAAAAGAGCAAAUUGUAUCACACAAUGAAAUGUGUGCUAAGUAGCCCUGAAUUAAUUGGUUUUCCUUUCAUUAGACAUUUCACCUUAAAUCUUACAAUUUCUUAUCAUUUUUAUGGUCUCAGCUCGAAUUUAAAGCCAAAGUACAAGAGGAAAGGCCUGUAUCACACAAGUCCACUUAUUUCCUCACAGUAUUCAGAAGACUUUAUUAUCAUCAUAUUAGAGUUUUUUUUCUACAUCUUAUUUUAUGUACUUCUUUUAUUCGGUACAUAGUUUAUUAGUGAGAUACGCUCCAUUGUUUCCUCUUUAUUUAUAGGCAAAAAACUUGGUGAGUAGCUAUUUCACAAAGGGGGAACAGGAAAAUUAGAAGUUGGGGGUAGGAAGAGAAGGAGUUAAGUUUUGAAUGUAUUGGAAUGAGGUAUCAUGGGAUAUCUGGGUGGCGGUAUCUCUCACAUACAGUCUGCAGUUUAAAAGAAAGCUUUGUGUUGGAAAUCACAUUUCAGAGUUAUCAUGUUGUAGAUGUUAAGUAGUUGUACACAGAUCAGUACAAGAGCCCAUUCAAGGUGAACAUCUAGACUAAGAAAUGGAAAAUGCAACUGGGACAAAAGAAUGUUUAAGAGUUACAGGCCAGGCGCAGUGGCUCACGCCUGUAAUCCCAGCACUUUGGGAACCCAAGACAGGCGGAUCACGAGGUCAAGAGAUCAAGACCAACCUGGCCAACAUGGUGAAACCCUGUCUCUACUAAAAAUACAAAAAUUAGCUGGGCAUGGUGGUGCGCACCUGUAGUCCCAGUUACUUGAGAGGCUAAGGCAGGAGGAUCGCUUGAACCUGGGAGGCAGAGGUUUCAGUGAGCCGAGAUCAUGCCACUGCACUCCAGCCUGGUGACAGAGUGACACUCCAUUUUAAAAAAAAAAAAAAAGAAUAAGGGGUACAAAGAAGAGCACACAGAAAGGUAAACAUAACAGCAGACAAGACAGAAAAUAUUUCAUGAAGCACAAUUAAUGUGAACUGAACACAAGUUGAGUAAAAUUCAUUAAUUCUUUUGUUCAAUGAACAUUUAUUAAACCACUACUGUGUGUCAGGUACUUUUCUCAAUGUUGAUGAAACAGGACGGUAUGAAACAGGGCAGAAAAAGUCUCUGUUCUCCUAGACCUUAUAGUUGCUCAGUCCUCUGCCUGCUACGCACUGGCAUUACAGAAGAGCAUAGACAAGGAGCCCAUCAAUGGAGCAAGAAGUGUCGUCCCAUUUAUGCAAAGAAUAUCCAUCCCUAAUUCGGGAUAUUGUAAGACUUUCCAGGAAGAACAUGCUAUCACCAUAUUGACCAGAAUCAAGAGGAGAGAUUGAUUGAAAAUGCCCAUUGGAUUGAGUGCCAUAAUCUUGAAGGACUCCCUGACAUAAGGUAAAAAACUUGCAGAGGGGGUGGUGUGACUGUACUGGGUACCCAUGGUAAGGGGACCACAGGAAAAAUCAUACUUGUUACCACACCAACUGAACUCAAAUGUUGUAGGUGGAGGUGGCAUCAUGUUCAGAGCAGUCACAGGUAACAGCUGACAAAUGGACCCAAACAGAGCUGAAGCACAAAAUUUGGCCCUUAAUGUAACUUUUCUUCCAUAUGAGUAUCAGUAGCCCAAGACCAGCAUUUCAACACUGGUCUACUUAUUCAGUCUCAUGCUAUAACGGGAUAGGAACAUAAUGUCGGCCAGCAAAGUCAGUCUGGUCACCAGACUGUUCUCCUGAAACCAGGUGCCUGAGACAGCCACAUGAGGGAGUCUCAGAGCAUCUCAGGACAUCUGGUAAAUGCCACAUAGGGAGUUAGUGGUUGCGAAGCUCUCCAAAAGAAAAAAAAAAAAAUAGGAACCUUAACUUGUAAAAUUCACAGUGGAAGUUCAGGACACACCGUUGCGAUGGUACUGCCAGUGCCAACAAGAUUUAAACUUUGAAGGAAGACAUUUUUGGUCCCAGAGCAGUGAGCAUAUGGAGCUCUGACAAGAUGGCACUGCUGGCCCUGGCUGGUCUCAGCCACCGAAAGGAGACUUACAAAAAUUGAGAAAAGCCAUCCAAAACACAGGGUACCCAGAGAUACUAUUCUGGGACAAAGGCCCUGCUUUCAGGGUCCUGGCGUCAUACCACACCACACUGCCCAAAUACACUGCUAGCCCUCAAAUCCUUGUCUCAGGGUCAGCAUCUAAAACAGGGUCAUUUAAAAUUAAGAAAGUCAAUAUUUAAAUAACCAACAUAAAUGAUUGCUUAUCCUGACUGAAUUUGGUGCAAA